RNAcentral lists this ribosomal RNA (374 nucleotides) under Nematoda sp. RNAcentral describes it as "SSU rRNA". It matches the Rfam family "Eukaryotic small subunit ribosomal RNA", at positions 252 to 626 of the family's 1831-position model. The record is from RNAcentral. Lineage: Eukaryota; Metazoa; Nematoda.
CUGAAUAACUACGCAGAUCGCAUGGUCUAGUACCGGCGACAUAUCCUUCAAGUGCUUCCCUUAUCAACUUUCGAUGGUAGUUUAUUGGACUACCAUGGUUGUAACGGGUAACGGAGAAUAAGGGUUCGACUCCGGAGAGGGAGCCUGAGAAACGGCUACCACAUCCAAGGAAGGCAGCAGGCGCGCAAAUUACCCACUCUCAGAUCGAGGAGGUAGUGACGAAAAAUAACGAGACAGUUCUCUUUGAGGUCUGUCAUCGGAAUGGGUACAACCUAAACCCUUUAACGAGGAUCUAAUCGAGGGCAAGUCUGGUGCCAGCAGCCGCGGUAAUUCCAGCUCGGUUAGUGUAUAUUAAAGUUGUUGCGGUUAAAAAG